GAUGAACGCUAGCGGCAGGCCUAACACAUGCAAGUCGAGGGGCAUCGCGGUGCAGCAAUGCACUGGCGGCGACCGGCGUACGGGUGCGUAACGCGUAUGCAACCUGCCCCGCACCGGGGGAUAGCCCGCCGAAAGGCGGAUUAAUACCCCAUGGUCCCGGGGGCCCGCAUGGGCAUCCGGGUAAAGCCUUGGCGGUGCGGGAUGGGCAUGCGUGCCAUUAGCUGGCUGGUGGGGUAACGGCCCACCUAGGGCAACGAUGGCUAGGGGGUCUGAGAGGAUGGUCCCCCACACUGGUACUGAGACACGGACCAGACUCCUACGGGAGGCAGCAGUGAGGAAUAUUGGUCAAUGGGCGGAAGCCUGAACCAGCCAUGCCGCGUGCGGGAUGAAGGCCCUACGGGUUGUAAACCGCUUUUCCCCGGGAAGAAUAACCCCGAUGAGUCGGGUGAUGCCGGUACCGGGGGAAUAAGGAUCGGCUAACUCCGUG
Molecule: ribosomal RNA, 487 nt
Filed under: uncultured bacterium
Lineage: Bacteria
Description: bacterial SSU rRNA
Rfam family: Bacterial small subunit ribosomal RNA
Source: RNAcentral